CAUGAAGAAAUUGAUCUGGUCAGUUUAGAGGAGUUUUAUAAGGAGGCUCCACCAGAUAUCAGCAAGGCCGAAGUCACCAUGGGAGACCCUCACCAGCAGACACUGGCACGUCUGGACUGGGAGCUGGAGCAGCGGAAAAGGCUAGCAGAGAAGUACCGAGAGUGCCUAUCUAACAAGGAGAAGAUUCUCAAGGAGAUUGAGGUGAAGAAGGAGUACCUGAGUAGCCUCCAGCCCCGCCUCAACAGCAUCAUGCAGGCUUCCCUUCCGGUGCAGGAGUACCUGUUUAUGCCAUUCGACCAGGCUCACAAGCAGUAUGAGACAGCCAGACACCUGCCGCCUCCCCUCUAUGUCCUCUUUGUUCAGGCCACUGCGUAUGGGCAGGCCUGUGAUAAGACGUUAUCUGUGGCAAUCGAAGGCAGUGUGGAUGAAGCCAAGGCUCUGUUCAAACCUCCAGAGGACUCCCAAGAUGACGAGAGUGACUCAGAUGCCGAGGAGGAGCAGACUACGGUGAGAACCAUUUCCUCUUGUGGGGGCAUCAAGCAGCUGCAUG
RNAcentral lists this small RNA (550 nucleotides) under Pan troglodytes (chimpanzee). RNAcentral describes it as "retained intron". Lineage: Eukaryota; Metazoa; Chordata; Mammalia; Primates; Hominidae. The record is from RNAcentral.